Long non-coding RNA from Canis lupus familiaris (dog), 525 nucleotides. RefSeq lists it as uncharacterized. The transcript is spliced from 3 exons. The record is from RefSeq and is a predicted model, not a curated record. NCBI's taxonomy places the organism in Eukaryota, Metazoa, Chordata, Mammalia, Carnivora, Canidae.
GCUCUCUGAUGGAGGAGAAUCAUGUUUGCCCUGACAGCACUGUAUUGCAAGCACAGUAGACCAUAGGGAUGCCAUAAACAUUUAUUGAAGGAAUCAAGGAACAAGAUUCUAUCUAUUUAUUCAAGAGAGACAUAGAGAGGCAGAGACAUGCAUAGAAGGAGAAGCAAGCUUCCCAACAAGGAGCCUAAUGCGGAACUUGAUCCUGGGACUCCAGGAUUGUGACCCAAGCCAAAGGCAGAUGCUCAACUACUGAGCCGCCCAGAUGCCCCCCUCAUGUUCUCUUUUAGCAAUCCAUCUUCUGUGGUCCAGCACUUUCUGGGAGUGAAGAGGAAGGAGAGUGAUAAGCACUGUCUAUCUAGGGUUCCUCUUGGCAAGAGAUUAAGAUGAGUCAAGCUGAAGUUUUGUUAAGAUCUAUAAAGAACUUCUUAAACUCAACACCAAAGAAACAAACAAUCCAAUCAUGAAAUGGGCAAAAGACAUGAACAGAAAUCUCACAGAGGAAGACAUAGACAUGGCCAACAUGCA